Molecule: ribosomal RNA, 988 nt
Filed under: human gut metagenome
Description: bacterial LSU rRNA
Rfam family: Bacterial large subunit ribosomal RNA
Source: RNAcentral
AACUAUAACGGUCCUAAGGUAGCGAAAUUCCUUGUCAGGUAAGUUCUGACCCGCACGAAAGGCGUAACGAUUUGGGCGCUGUCUCAGCUGUAGACUCGGUGAAGUCUUAGUACCUGUGAAGAUGCAGGUUACCCGCGACUAGACGGAAAGACCCCAUGGAGCUUUACUGUAGCUUGAUAUUGGACUUUGAUGCAAGAUGUACAGGAUAGGUAGGAGACUGAGAGACAUGCACGCCAGUGUGUGAGGAGUCAAUGUUGGGAUACUACUCUUCUUGUAUUGGAGUUCUAACCGGAUGCCAUGGAACUGGCAACGGGACAGUGUCAGGUGGGCAGUUUGACUGGGGCGGUCGCCUCCCAAAGAGUAACGGAGGCGCCCAAAGAUACCCUCAGCUUGGAUGGAAAUCAAGCGCAGAGUGCAAAGGCAUAAGGGUGUUUGACUGCGAGACCUACAAGUCGAGCAGGGACGAAAGUCGGGCUUAGUGAUCCGGCGGUGCUGAAUGGAAAGGCCGUCGCUCAACGGAUAAAAGCUACCCUGGGGAUAACAGGCUGAUCUCCCCCAAGAGUCCACAUCGACGGGGAGGUUUGGCACCUCGAUGUCGGCUCAUCGCAUCCUGGGGCUGUAGUCGGUCCCAAGGGUUGGGCUGUUCGCCCAUUAAAGCGGUACGCGAGCUGGGUUCAGAACGUCGUGAGACAGUUCGGUCCCUAUCUGUCGUGGGCGUAGGAAGUUUGAGAAGAUCUGUCCUCAGUACGAGAGGACCGGGAUGGACAUAUCAAUGGUGCACCAGUUGUCACGCCAGUGGCACAGCUGGGUAGCUAAAUAUGGAAGGGAUAAACGCUGAAGGCAUCUAAGUGUGAAACCCACUUCAAGAUGAGACUUCCCAUUACGCAAGUAAGUAAGACCCCUUAAAGACGAUAAGGUUGAUAGGUCAGGAGUGUAAGCAUGGCGACAUGUUCAGCGGACUGAUACUAAUAGGUCGAGGACUUAACCU